UACGGAGGGUGCGAGCGUUGUCCGGAAUCAUUGGGCGUAAAGGGCGCGUAGGUGGCCCGGUCAGCGUGCGGUGAAAGCUCGGGGCUCAACCCCCGAGUCGGCCGUGCGAACUGCUGGGCUUGAGCACUGUAGAGGCAGGCGGAAUUCCGGGGUGUAGCGGUGGAAUGCGUAGAGAUCCGGAAGAACACCGGUGGCGAAGGCGGCCUGCUGGGCAGUGGCUGGACACUGAGGCGCGACAGCGUGGGGGAGCAAAACAGG
RNAcentral lists this ribosomal RNA (258 nucleotides) under uncultured bacterium. RNAcentral's name for it is "partial 16S ribosomal RNA". It matches the Rfam family "Bacterial small subunit ribosomal RNA", at positions 524 to 776 of the family's 1533-position model. The record is from RNAcentral.